RNAcentral lists this ribosomal RNA (492 nucleotides) under uncultured bacterium. Its description in RNAcentral is "partial 16S ribosomal RNA". It matches the Rfam family "Bacterial small subunit ribosomal RNA", at positions 29 to 507 of the family's 1533-position model. The record is from RNAcentral.
AGUGAACGCUGGCGGUAGGCCUAACACAUGCAAGUCGAACGGCAGCACAGUAAGAGCUUGCUCUUACAGGUGGCGAGUGGCGGACGGGUGAGGAAUACAUCGGAAUCUACUUUUUCGUGGGGGAUAACGUGGGGAAACUUACGCUAAUACCGCAUACGACCUACGGGUGAAAGCAGGGGAUCUUCGGACCUUGCGCGAUUGAAUGAGCCGAUGUCGGAUUAGCUAGUUGGCGGGGUAAAGGCCCACCAAGGCGACGAUCCGUAGCUGGUCUGAGAGGAUGAUCAGCCACACUGGAACUGAGACACGGUCCAGACUCCUACGGGAGGCAGCAGUGGGGAAUAUUGGACAAUGGGCGCAAGCCUGAUCCAGCCAUACCGCGUGGGUGAAGAAGGCCUUCGGGUUGUAAAGCCCUUUUGUUGGGAAAGAAAAGCAGCAGGUUAAUACCCCGCUGUUCUGACGGUACCCAAAGAAUAAGCACCGGCUAACUUCGUG